Transfer RNA from Chaetomium globosum CBS 148.51, 111 nucleotides. It matches the Rfam family "tRNA". From Rfam's summary of the family: Transfer RNA (tRNA) molecules are approximately 80 nucleotides in length. NCBI's taxonomy places the organism in Eukaryota, Fungi, Ascomycota, Sordariomycetes, Sordariales, Chaetomiaceae. The record is from Rfam.
GGUCCGCUGGCUCAAUGGUAGAGCGUUUGACUACGACUUCUGCCUCCUCUGAGAUAUCUUAGGAAGGAGCGAGUCAUCAAGAGGUUCCAGGUUCGAGCCCUGGGCGGAUCG